Molecule: non-coding RNA, 107 nt
Organism: Gossypium hirsutum (cotton)
Lineage: Eukaryota; Viridiplantae; Streptophyta; Magnoliopsida; Malvales; Malvaceae
Source: Rfam
AACCCAUGGUGAGGGCACCUUCUCAAAAGAUUUUUGUAUCACUCCAAUGCAUCAUAGAGUGUUUCUAAAUCCAUCUGCACAAGAGAGGAGAUAUCAUUACAUAAUUU